RNAcentral lists this unclassified non-coding RNA (428 nucleotides) under Enterococcus faecalis V583. Its description in RNAcentral is "Ref16A2". The stretch from base 282 to 370 matches the Rfam family "RNA anti-toxin A". The record is from RNAcentral. Lineage: Bacteria; Bacillati; Bacillota; Bacilli; Lactobacillales; Enterococcaceae.
GAAAAGAGAGGUAUGCGCCAACAUACCUCUCUAGUGUAGAGCGGUUUAAGACGGUGACCUUUUGGAUUAUUUAAAAAUAACCGUACUUGGUCAAAGUAGACGGUUAUUUUUUCUUGUCUUCUUUAACAGCUUUUAGGAUUCCGAAGAUUAACGUUGCGAUUCUUGUUGCAAAGCGCAUGUUCCUGUGCGCUUGCCGCCGCCAUAACUUCUCUACGCUUAGAGUAUACUAUGUAAAACAAAAAAUAAUUAGUUUCCAAUAUAUUUUUUAGGCAAUUGUACUAUAAUGGUAAUGAAAAGAGAGCUAUGCGCUAACAUACCUCUCUGAUGUAGAGCCGUUACUAACGGUGACAAAAAUUAAUAUUUUUGAAAUGACCGUCUAACUAGGCAAAGUUAAGCAGCGCCCCUUUCAUUAAGGGGCGCUGCUUUUU